Molecule: ribosomal RNA, 253 nt
Filed under: uncultured bacterium
Lineage: Bacteria
Description: partial 16S ribosomal RNA
Rfam family: Bacterial small subunit ribosomal RNA
Source: RNAcentral
UACGUAGGGGGCUAGCGUUGUCCGGAUUUAUUGGGCGUAAAGAGCGUGUAGGCGGCCAGAUAGGUCUGCUGUGAAAACUCGAGGCUCAACCUCGAGAUGUCGGCAGAAACCAUCUGGCUAGAGUCCGGAAGAGGAGAGUGGAAUUCCCGGUGUAGCGGUGAAAUGCGCAGAUAUCGGGAAGAGCACCCGUGGCGAAGGCGGCUCUCUGGGACGGUACUGACGCUGAGACGCGAAAGCGUGGGGAGCGAACAGG